AUGCAGUGAGGUCCCCAGGGUCUGUGGGGUGAGUUCAGCUGCCGUUUCCUACAAUGUGUUGCUCCAGGCCACGGUGCUUUUGUCCUUGACUUGUACAAGGUGCGGUCUAGAGAGAACUUCAUGCUUCAAAUUUGAAAGAAUAUGCAACUAUAGAAGAGACUCAUCCACAGUGUAAUGGGUUGUUGGGCCCAUUGCUAUGUGGACCACCAUGUGGACCUGCAGUCAGGGAUGCAGAGACUGCCUCUUCCCGUCGUCCCUGUCAUCAAAGCAUUUCUCAUACAAUGGCCAAAAAGCAUCCCAAGCCUCGGUUCUUAAAAAAACAGGUUCCAUGUCAGCCAGAACCUAAUGGACCUCGAGAGAUAGGCAGACAUUAUUUUUACUUCUAUUUUGUACAUUGUAUGAAGAACACUCAUUGAAGAUCUCAUUGCUAAAGCUGUGCUGAGCAUGUGCUACGGCUGGGACUGGCUGAGACACGGAUGUGGGAUCAAUACAUUUAUUGAGAAGAUAAGCCAGGGUUACUAAUCAGAUCUGAAG
Mustela lutreola (European mink) is the source of this 534-nucleotide long non-coding RNA. RefSeq lists it as uncharacterized. NCBI's taxonomy places the organism in Eukaryota, Metazoa, Chordata, Mammalia, Carnivora, Mustelidae. The transcript has 4 exons. The record is from RefSeq and is a predicted model, not a curated record.